AACGUAGGAGGCAAGCGUUAUCCGGAUUUACUGGGCGUAAAGCGCGUGCAGGCGGUCUUGUAAGUUGGAUGUGAAAGCUCCUGGCUCAACUGGGAGAGGUCGUUCAAUACUGCAGGACUUGAGGAUGGUAGAGGGAGGUGGAAUUCCGGGUGUAGUGGUGAAAUGCGUAGAUAUCCGGAGGAACACCAGUGGCGAAAGCGGCCUCCUGGACCAUUUCUGACGCUCAGACGCGAAAGCUAGGGGAGUAAACGGG
Molecule: ribosomal RNA, 253 nt
Filed under: uncultured bacterium
Lineage: Bacteria
Description: partial 16S ribosomal RNA
Rfam family: Bacterial small subunit ribosomal RNA
Source: RNAcentral